Molecule: long non-coding RNA, 701 nt
Filed under: Trifolium pratense (red clover)
Lineage: Eukaryota; Viridiplantae; Streptophyta; Magnoliopsida; Fabales; Fabaceae
Description: long non-coding RNA (TPRA_LNC009551)
Source: RNAcentral
AUGUGCUUGGACUGUAGCUUUCACAAUGCUCUGAAAUGUUCAAACAGACACGGAAUCAUUAAAUCAGGAAAAGAUUCAAGCAAACUGAAGCCAUUCAUUAGCUUUCGGUGACCUAAUGAAUAGGAUCACCAACCUUGAAACAUGAAGUCCAUGUUCUGUUAGCUAAUAGCAACCAAUGCUUAAACUAGAAAACCAGUCCAAAUUAUCCAAUCAACAACACUCACACAUAGAAAGAGACAAAAGAACUUAACCUGUGAAACAAACAAAAGUGUUUUAAUAAUCAAUUCAUUCUUAAAAGGCACUAAAACUUAAUUUAGUUAAUGAUAGUGGAGACACGAACAUAAACUAAAUUUCAAAAGAAGCAUAAUACGUAGUUCAUCAAAGAAAAGAAAAAAGAACUUUAGUUAUUCCUGCACAUACCUUGUCUCAAACACCAUAUUCACAAAUUAAGAAUAGUUCCCUCAUUUUUAACAGGACUAUGUGUCACAUUCGUUUCAAUACUUUCAAUCUCUCUAGAAAUAUAGAAAAUGAAAGAAGCAUCUGCUAUAUGUCAAUCAUCCCAACAUUCGAUUAUCCAACGGAAAUAUAUUCUCACAUAUAAACAUCAGUGUAAAUGACAUGUGAAGUUGGUAAAGCAUGAGGGUAUGCAAUAACUGAGAAAAAAGCAAUACAUGUGCUUGUUUGUCACCUAAUUUAACAUA